GAGUGCCCCAAGCGUUAUCCGGAAUUACUGGGCGUAAAGGGUGUGUAGGUGGUUUGGUUAGUCUAGCGUUAAAACUCCCGGCUUAACCGGGAAGGUGCGCUGGAAACGGCCAAACUUUGAGAGGGUGAGAGGCAUAUGGAACUCAUGGUGUAGGGGUGAAAUCCGUUGAUAUCAUGGGGAACGCCAAAGGUGAAGACAGUAUGCUAGCACCUAUCUGACACUGAAACACGAAAGCGUGGGGAUCGAAUGGGAUUAGGUACCCCAGUAGUCCACGCCCUAAACGAUGAUCACUGGCUUUUCGGAGUAUCGACCCUCUGAGAGGCGAAGCUAACGCGUUAAGUGAUCCGCCUGGGAAGUACGAUCGCAAGRKKA
This 372-nucleotide ribosomal RNA is filed under the name uncultured bacterium. RNAcentral's name for it is "bacterial SSU rRNA". It matches the Rfam family "Bacterial small subunit ribosomal RNA", at positions 527 to 896 of the family's 1533-position model. The record is from RNAcentral.